AGGAAGAAGAGCAGCAGGCUGAGGUCUCCGUCAGACCUGCCGACGUGGACACACAAGUGGAAGGGGACUCGGUUGAAGAUCGCAUUCUUCGCGAUUACAGACAUGCAGCAGAGUGGGUUAAGGCCAACAAACAACUGUUCUCUGCCAAAGUGGACCUGCCUGAUGUUCUGUACAUGGGGGAGGAGAACCAGGCUGAGGCUGCUCUGCAGUAUGGGAGGGUGUGGAAAGAUCAAGUGGAUGACUAUGAAAAGAUCAAUGAUCAAUCCUGGAGCCCUUCAAAUUCACAUUUUACACACAGAGGAUGUGGAAAUUCUGUGAGGAAAUGAUGGACAAGAGAAAUAAUUUGGCCUAUUGUGAAUGUCACACAGAUGAGUGAGUUUGUGUUCGAGAAUAAAUGGCUACAGAACAUUUGA
This is a long non-coding RNA of Dicentrarchus labrax (European seabass), 413 nucleotides long. RefSeq lists it as uncharacterized. The record is from RefSeq and is a predicted model, not a curated record. The transcript has 2 exons. NCBI's taxonomy places the organism in Eukaryota, Metazoa, Chordata, Actinopteri, Moronidae.